UCGUUUAACCGAUCUGAAAACACCGUUUUCCUAAAAGACGUACACAAAAGACUUCUUAAUAUUCGCUUUUUGCUUUCCAUGCUGCCGUGUAGAAAUGCGACCACGUGUUCAUGCGAAUUUCCUUGCUAAUUUGUCGCAUUCACAAAGACGACUGAUGUCGAUGUCGCUGACGAACCUGACCGCAGCACAGUAUAUUUUAAAUUAAAAAUACCAACAACAAGAAUAAACAUUCCUAAGGCCCCAGCUGGGUGAGAAUUUUACGGCAAAACUUAUAGUAACGAAUGCGGUGGUGGCUGGCAAUGGCUAACGCAGCGCCAACGCCAUUUAAACGACGACAAUCAGCGGCCAUUAUUCGAAUUGUCUACGGCGCAUAUCACUCGGUUCCCAUCAGCUCACUCUCAAUCAGUCAUGAGAGUGUUGGCUCUCUUAACUCUGAUACCUGACAACAAAGAAACACACAUAAAAGAGGGGUUCGCAGAAAGAGCUACUACAGAGUUUCGAAUGCCAGGGAGAGAGCACAGCUUGAUAUCAAUUCAUAUAAUAUAUAAAGAGUAAGCGAGAGGGUAUGAGGGCUUCGGAAUAAAUAAGAGUGAGCGAAAUGAAAAAUAUCUGGUUUUUGUGUAUAAUGAAAAAGUCAUCAGAGGAAUUAGGAGGGGAAUUGCCUAUGAAAAAAAUAUAAAGAGGGGAGUGGAAUGACGCAUUCUCACGCGUAUACUAUAUAAUAUAAACAAAAAAAACAACAAA
This is a long non-coding RNA of Anastrepha obliqua, 744 nucleotides long. RefSeq lists it as uncharacterized. The transcript has 2 exons. NCBI's taxonomy places the organism in Eukaryota, Metazoa, Arthropoda, Insecta, Diptera, Tephritidae. The record is from RefSeq and is a predicted model, not a curated record.